UAGAGCGAUAGGAAUUGAACCUACAAUUGAGAGAUCAAAA
Molecule: transfer RNA, 40 nt
Filed under: Dendropsophus ebraccatus (hourglass treefrog)
Lineage: Eukaryota; Metazoa; Chordata; Amphibia; Anura; Hylidae
Description: partial tRNA-Gln
Source: RNAcentral